GGCGAGCUCUAUUGUUUCCAACCGUAUUUCAAAAUGGUGCCCUCCUCUAAAAUGAAACGUGAUUAAGCCCGUUUCAUAGCUAGUAUACUUUGAUUUGCCGCUGUUGUGUCAACACAUUAUUUCAAAUGUCAAAUGACAAGUAAUUUUAGACAUUUGUCACUACCCGACCUUUAACUAAAACGUAUAUCAUGUUAGGGGCGUGGUUUAGCUACGGGGGAUGUACGAAUAUUAAAUAAUAAGGCAGUGGGUAAUCUCGCUAACUCGUGUUUGCUCUGCCCCCCCCUCCUCGCUUGUUCUGCCCACUAUGACUAAUUUGUUCCCAUUGGAAACGACGGGCUGUGGUCUGUCUUGGGUUAGUUUAUAAAAAUCUUUGGUGUAGUCCUAAAACCCGGAAAUUAGUUACCUAUGGUUCGUUCAGCCACAUGUUCUAAACCCAGAAGGCCACACAUUGCGAGACUUCCGGGAACGCUUGCGAAGCAGACUCGGAAGACCAGACCAAGAUGCGAGUCAAUUCCUUAAGCAGCUGAACAUUUAUUACUCAAACCUCCGGAAAGUGUCAAGCUGACACGUUUUUAUUUUCGGCAAAACAUUUUUUUAAAUAGGAGUGCCUUUGAGUUGACAGGUUGCACAUGCGCAGUUCGUAGCGAGACGACCGUUAAACCAGAUUACGUGUUUUUUGCGCAUAAAUUUAGCAAGCUAACGUCGCCAGGACAUCGCCUACAAGCGUGAUCAGGAAUUUCUAUUGGAGAAGCAUUUCAACAUAUCUUCAUACUAAACCAUCUUUGGUUCAGCCUUCGUGUGGGAAAAAAUGAAUGGUGAAAAAAUAUAUAUAGGUCUGAGGGCAACACUGGUUUAGGAGAUCUUAUACGUUUUGUUCUAUGACAUAACAGCAGUCAGUUAACAUGAACUUUAUGAAUUAUGAAGUCUUUAUGUGAUUGAUGUGUUUUUUAUUAUUACAUAAAUUCUUCAAAAUUCACAAAAAGUUACGUUAUCUGAUGAAGAUUAUCUCAUAGAACAAAAUGUAUAAGAUCUCCUAAACCUGUGUUUACCACAGACCUUAUUUUCAGCAUUUAUCCAAAAACCUUACAAAAACGGCAUUCAUUUUCCUCAUAGGCUUCCUCCAAUGAACCAUGCCGUAGUUAGUGCCUACGAAAAGACACCAUUACUAUUUCUCUCUAUGAGGUCUGUGGUAAACACAGGCUUGGGAGAUAAUCUUCAAUCAGUCACUUUUUGUGGAUUUUGAAGAAUUUAUGUAAUUUAAAAAACACAUAUAGCACAAAAAGGCUUCAUAAUUCAUAAAGUUCUUGUUAACUGACUGCUAUUAUCUCAUAGAACAAAACGUAUAAAAUCUCCUAAACCAGUGUUACCCUCAGACCUUAUUUUUGGCCGUUUAUUCCAAAACCCUAUUCUUUUUCCAUUAAUCUUUCCUAUAGGGAUGGCUGAACGAACCUUAGGUAGCUCAUUUACGGGUUUUAGGACUUCAAGCUGGCGAGCUCUAUUGCAGCCAACUUUAAAGGCGAGUCGAGACUGACUGAUCUACAAAUCACCUGGCUUGCAUCCUAAAUAACUACUCAAUAUUAUUUGUAGAUCAGUCAGUCACAAUUUACCCAUGCUACAUCAUGGUCUUGACGCUCUUGAACACGGCCACUGUCAGUGGAGUAUGCAGAUGGCACUCUAGACCUUUUAAAUAUUUUCUUUUAUCGGGGACAUGUCAUCAAAAUAAUAAAUAUAUUAUAUUGUAACAGCAUGUGGAUAGCAGCUUCUGCCAUACUGUAAAAUUCCAUCAGCCACUGUAAAUAAUGUAUCUACAGUGUAAGUACCAUAAUCAGUUUGUCAUAAUACUCAUAAUACUCAUAAAACCUAACGGUCAAACUUGGAAAUGGUUCCAAUCCAUUUUCAACCAUUCAUUUUCCCCAUGGGGGAUUUUAGAAACAUUUCAAGUAAGGGCUAUGUUUCGUGUAGGCUUACCCUGAUGUGACGUUUUGAUAACUGUAAAUCUCUCUCAGACAAGGUGACUUUUAUCAGAGAGGAAGAGAGAGGCCCAACUCAGUGGAAAAUCUGUCUCUGCAGGUGGUUGUUUUUUCAUUGUUUUGCCCACCAAGUAAGGAGUUUUUGUAUGGAGGUCAAUAAAAGAGUGUCGAAUUAGCUCAACAACAAAAAUAAUGGUUAUUUUCUACGUGAGAUUUAUUUGAUCUAAUAAAAGUUUUGUAAUGCUUAAGUUGUUACGAGUGUACUGAUAUAGGUAGGACACGUGACAUCCCGGCAUCUUUGAGAAGAAAAAAAAACACUUUCUAUUGGAGUUGUCUCGAGAUGGCUAUGCAUAUUCAUGUCAUGAGGCUAGUGGCAUAGCAUUUCUCUCCAUUGAAUACUGGAGGUUGACGUCAACAACCCUCAUCGAAUAUUUAAAAAAAAACAUUACAAUAAUAAGAUGUAUACACCAAUCCAAAGAAAGGAUAGGCGGGACCUAGACAGCCCGCCAUGCCGCUUUGUGGACAACGACUCCCAUUGUUAGGACGGAGACACCUGUAUCUUGUCAGUAUAUCCAAAAUCUUGGAUUUUAUCAAUAUAUAAACCUGUAGUUAACUAACUAGCUAACUUAGAUGGUGAAGCUAGGUGUUCUGGAUAAUGUUUGUUUGUGUCUGUGUGUGAGGGAUGGGUAGCCUACUUCAAGUACUUAUUGACUUGCAGCUGCCCUAGCUGGCAGUAUUAUUUUGGUCUGGCUUUUUGUGAGGUUUCAGAGAUGGACUGAUUGAUUAUCAUCCUCUCUUGAGUCAACAGUGUGCUUACUUUACUACAGGAAUACAUUGAUCUGUUUGCUGUUACCCUCUGGACAGCAGAUCAUUAGUAUAGCUAGUAGGCAUGGUUAUGUAACCUUAUUUAGUCCUACCUGCUAUGGUGGGUUUUAAAUAAAUUGGUAUUCACACGUCUGUUUGAUUUUUGGUAAAAUUACUGUCAUGUUAUUGAUGCCAAAUUGCAAACCUUAUUUGAACCUUUUCUAUUCCAGAACCAAUGUGUGUGCCUGAGUCUUAUCACCUCUCAACUAGGUAAUCUGUUUAAACCUGGAACACUGUGCUUCUGCUUUGGUCUGUUUCGGUCAUUGCAGGAAGUCCUGAAGAGCAGGAGUGUGUGAACGGUUUUGUCCCAGCUCAGCUCUAACACCUGACUUAAAUAAUCAUCAUAACGAAUCACUGCGAUAGGCCUUGAUUUGUAAUCAGUUAUAAGCUGGGCUGGAACAAAAGUGUAUACUGUACACACUCCUGCUAUUCAUAUCUGGAGCCGUCCACCCCUUUAAGUCAUUAUUCUGUACUAUGGGUACAGCUGAACUUGUUGACUGAUACCAAGGCGGCGGAUGUUAAGAAGAAGGGAGUAGCUGCGGACCAGAAGACUGCAGCAAAGGCAGCACUGGUCCACACCUGCCCUGUCUGUCAGUAGAUGCAGACCCAAAGACAUUCAAGUAGCACUUUGAGAGAAAGCAUUCCAAGUCUCCAAUGGUCCCAGUACUGGUUGAUGUGCAGGUCUAAGUGACCACACACACUGAAAUGGACCUACAGCUGGGAGACACACGAUGACCACGAUUUGAAUGACAUUGAGGGACACGCUGAGACCCCGAGUAUGACUGGACAUUGGCCGGAUAUUUGUGACAAUGAUUUAAAAGGGGUGUAGAAGCACACCAGAACCCCAUUUUAUGUUUAUUCCAAAGCCAACCAUCCCUCUACCUACCCCUUAUUCCACACUGCCUUUUAUGCCCCAUGGUCCCUCAACUUCAGACACUUUGGAACUCUCCAUCUUAUCUCUAUAAACCCACCCUACCGUCACCCAUUUUCUCUAUGCUGCUUCCUUAAUUUUAUAUAUAUAUAUAUAUUUUUAUAUCCGAAACAUACAAUAUACUUGCAGUGAAGCCGCUCAACAACUACAUCAUACCAGUCAUCCAACAGACUC
Salmo salar (Atlantic salmon) is the source of this 3939-nucleotide long non-coding RNA. RefSeq lists it as uncharacterized. Lineage: Eukaryota; Metazoa; Chordata; Actinopteri; Salmoniformes; Salmonidae. The record is from RefSeq and is a predicted model, not a curated record.